GCGAGUUGGUGUGUGGCUGUCGGACCCAAGUUUGGGUCUGAGGAAACUCCGCCCACAUGUAGAAUUGCAACAUCUUUGAUGUAAGGCGAGAGCCUUGGCAACGGAGCAGAAACGACACGUCCUAUUGACGCUUUAACAGAUGAGACAUUCUAAAAUGUCGAUUAGUCAAUUGGAAGCGAUGAAACGGCCGUCCUGCAAGUGGAAAGGGCAAACAGACGCUGAUGAUCAUCUACAAAAGGCGCGGGUAGCCCGAUUAGCCGAAUGCCACAAGAUAAACAAAAGGCGGGUUACAUCCAGGACAC
Molecule: RNase P RNA, 302 nt
Filed under: Candidatus Bathycorpusculum soli
Lineage: Archaea; Thermoproteati; Candidatus Bathyarchaeota; Bathyarchaeia (SeqCode); Bathyarchaeales (SeqCode); Candidatus Bathycorpusculaceae
Description: RNase P RNA component
Rfam family: Archaeal RNase P
About the family: Ribonuclease P (RNase P) is a ubiquitous endoribonuclease, found in archaea, bacteria and eukarya as well as chloroplasts and mitochondria. Its best characterised activity is the generation of mature 5'-ends of tRNAs by cleaving the 5'-leader elements of precursor-tRNAs. Cellular RNase Ps are ribonucleoproteins.
Source: RNAcentral